Long non-coding RNA from Pangasianodon hypophthalmus (striped catfish), 2302 nucleotides. RefSeq lists it as uncharacterized. The record is from RefSeq and is a predicted model, not a curated record. Lineage: Eukaryota; Metazoa; Chordata; Actinopteri; Siluriformes; Pangasiidae. The transcript has 4 exons.
CCUGGUUUUUGUGUCUUAUCUGUUGCCUGUGUGUUGCUUGUCUUGUAUACAUAAUUUAUGUCUAGGCUCCUAGUUUUUGUGUUGUUUAUUUUUGUUUGUGUUUGUGUUUGUGCUUGCAUUUGCAUUCGACUCCAAUUCCUGACAGAGGCUAUGUCAUUUUUAAUGUUGUCCUGCCCCAACAAGACCUGGUCACAAACCGAUAUGAACCUCCUCUUCUCCAGAGACGCCCACAGAACUGAGAGACAUCUGGAGGUCCAGGUCCCAGUGCCAGGGGAAACUGUUCAUCAGAACCCCCUGACACCACAUCAACUGUUCUCAGUUUAAUCGAGAAAUAGCCCAUAACCCAGUGGGAACAUGCCCAAAGGAUUGCCUGUCCCAAAGCAUGCUAGGAAGGAAGGUUGAACCGCCUUGUGAAAUUCAAAAGAGCAUUUCGGAGCACUCGCUGGCCUUUUAGCAAAAGGAAUUCACAGUUUAGCAGAGACAAUUCACACACACUUUAAUAACGCGAUAAGCUUGCAGACAAUUUUCACAGUCCAUGGAUUAGCGUGCAAUUUACGCCUGUGCCUGUCUCCUGCUAAUCUCUCUGUUCUCUCAGUUCAAGUUAAUUUGCCAGAAUGGCGUGCAUUAAGUGAUGCUGUGCAGUGAAGUGAAAUGUUCAAACUGUGCAGAGCAAGGAUUGUUCAUUUUUUCUAAAACUCUACCUACUGUAUGAGUCAGCACAAGCCUGAAUCUGAUCCUUUCAAUAACAAGAACAUCCCUCCUUCUCUCGCAGUGUUAUGAACUCUUUAUCUUAGGGUUGUAUUUCAUCUCUCUGGAGAUUCCUCCUCCAUCUAUUACAUCUCCAAGAUGAAGAGAUUAUGAGCUUGGGUCUGGUACAGUCCUGAAUCUGAAAUGCCUUAUGUCUCCGUCAUGGACUACGUCAAAAACUAUGUCCGGUUUGGAAAAACCAUAAAUCUUUUUAAGAGGUGCAUAUUUCUACUGCUUUGAGAGAUGACCUGUUACGUAAUCAGAUGUGGAAUUUUCCCAACACACACCAGAAGAGUUCACAAGGCAUUUUGAUCAUCUAUUCCACAAGUCACAUGUUUAACAGGAAGUUGCAUCCAAAUUUCUGAAGAUCAUGGGAAGAAGAAAACCAUGCGACCGUCUCAUUACGGUAGCCUCUGGCCUUUUCCGACAGGAACAGGAGUCAUGAUGUAUGAGGCAGAAGAAGAGAUGUUAAUCAGGUUUGAACAGGAUCUCCUGCUUCUGUCACAAUCAAUGUUAUGGCUGAUUAUUGAGCGGUAAAUCCAGCAUGUGACUCCGAUCAGCACAGAGAGAAAGAGGAGUCUGUUCUAGACGUGGGUCUGUGCCCUGGUUUUGACGUCCGUCUCAUGCGUUUACAUGUUUCUUCUAGUCAAAGUACCAAAUUUUGAGUUACUGAUCAUCCACACAUACUUAAUUAACUUCCCCUGCUUUAACUGUUAAUGAAGCACAAAAUUAUUUUUAAAAAAAAAGUUAAUAAGAUGAUUAGUUUUACAUUUGUUGUUGUUAUUAUUAUUAUAUCAUUUAUUGUAAUUUGUUUUUUUUUUCCAGAGGUGUGUAUAUCGUAAAUAUGUCACACACCAGAAUAAAAAAAAGACUUCUGUGUAGGAAGCAGCUGUGUAUCCUUAAAACCCAUUCUCUCCUUGUUCCUUGAUUCCUCAAGCACAUUUUAGGAAUAUUUACAUUCUUAAAAACUCCAGGUCCUGGGCGAAGCAAGAGAAGCCACCAGCAGGUGGAGAUAAAGCAGUGAAACUGAUCAUCACUAUCACGGAGCAACAAGGCCCAUCUCUUAUUCACACUUCCCCCUAAUGCACACGCAUCUGCAUCAAGACCAAGAGCAUCCCCAAAUAUGAGGAGGGCCUUAGGGGCUGCAUUUUUUUCUUCUAAAAUGUAGUUUAAACCAGAUUUCAAUUGUACAGAUGCCUAACGUUUGAAAAUAAGCUUUAACCUGAAUGAUCAGGAUUUUGAAAUACAUAGAUGUGCUCAUUGUUGUCAACUUAUUAAAUUAUCGUCAGCCCAGUGACUAAUCUGGCGACUUUUUGAGCAGACAUUAGUGACUGUCUGGCACUCGAUACGGCUCUCCAGCAAACAUCCCAGCUGCUGGUUAUGAGAAGCGAGAGAGCAAGUUCACUCAACUCACCAUCAGUGUAUAAAGCCUGACUCAGUUACACUUACAAGCCAGUGUUCCCAUGCACUAAUCACUGAUCACCGUCGUUUCCAAAGACUAAUCACUGAUCGAGCUUGUUCCCAAUGACUAAUCACUGAUCAUCAUUCUUCCCAA